This 497-nucleotide ribosomal RNA is filed under the name uncultured bacterium. RNAcentral describes it as "partial 16S ribosomal RNA". It matches the Rfam family "Bacterial small subunit ribosomal RNA", at positions 28 to 507 of the family's 1533-position model. The record is from RNAcentral.
GAUGAACGCUGGCGGCGUGCCUAAUACAUGCAAGUCGAGCGAACAGAUGAGGAGCUUGCUCCUCUGACGUUAGCGGCGGACGGGUGAGUAACACGUGGAUAACCUACCUAUAAGACUGGGAUAACUUCGGGAAACCGGAGCUAAUACCGGAUAAUAUAUUGAACCGCAUGGUUCAAUAGUGAAAGACGGUUUUGCUGUCACUUAUAGAUGGAUCCGCGCCGCAUUAGCUAGUUGGUAAGGUAACGGCUUACCAAGGCAACGAUGCGUAGCCGACCUGAGAGGGUGAUCGGCCACACUGGAACUGAGACACGGUCCAGACUCCUACGGGAGGCAGCAGUAGGGAAUCUUCCGCAAAGGGCGAAAGCGUGACGGAGCAACGCCGCGUGAGUGAUGAAGGUCUGCGGAUCGUAAAACUCUGUUAUUAGGGAAGAACAAAUGUGUAAGUAACUAUGCACGUCUUGACGGUACCUAAUCAGAAAGCCACGGCUAACUACGUG